AACGUAGGACGCAAGCGUUAUCCGGAGUUACUGGGCGUAAAGCGCGGGCAGGCGGCUCGAAACGUCUGAUGUGAAAUCUCCUCGCUCAACGGGGAGAGGCCAUUGGAAACGGUCGAGCUGGAGGGCAGUAGAGGUAGGCGGAAUUCCGGGUGGAGUGGUGAAAUGCGUAGAGAUCCGGAGGAACACCGACGGCGUAGGCAGCGCCCUGGACGACACCUGACGCUGAGGCACGAAAGCUGGGGGAGCGAACAGG
Molecule: ribosomal RNA, 253 nt
Filed under: uncultured bacterium
Lineage: Bacteria
Description: partial 16S ribosomal RNA
Rfam family: Bacterial small subunit ribosomal RNA
Source: RNAcentral